GGACCCGCACAAGCAGUGGAGUAUGUGGUUUAAUUCGAAGCAACGCGAAGAACCUUACCAGGUCUUGACAUCCAACUAACGAAGCAGAGAUGCAUCAGGUGCCCUUCGGGGAAAGUUGAGACAGGUGGUGCAUGGUUGUCGUCAGCUCGUGUCGUGAGAUGUUGGGUUAAGUCCCGCAACGAGCGCAACCCUUGACUUUAGUUGCCAGCAGGUUAAGCUGGGCACUCUAGAGUGACUGCCGGUGACAAACCGGAGGAAGGUGGGGAUGACGUCAAAUCAUCAUGCCCCUUAUGACCUGGGCUACACACGUACUACAAUGGCCGGUACAACGGGAAGCGAAGCCGCGAGGUGGAGCCAAACCCAGCAAAGCCGGUCUCAGUUCGGAUUGCAGGCUGCAACUCGCCUGCAUGAAGUCGGAAUUGCUAGUAAUCGCGGAUCAGCAUGCCGCGGUGAAUACGUUCCCGGGUCUUGUACACACCGCCCGUCACACCACGAGAGUUUACAACACCCGAAGUCGGUGGGGUAACCCGCAAGGGAGCCAGCCGCCGAAGGUGGGGUAGAUGAUUGGGGUGAAGUCGUAACAAGGUAGCCGUAUCGGAAGGUGCGGCU
RNAcentral lists this ribosomal RNA (609 nucleotides) under uncultured Paenibacillus sp. Its description in RNAcentral is "bacterial SSU rRNA". It matches the Rfam family "Bacterial small subunit ribosomal RNA", at positions 917 to 1519 of the family's 1533-position model. The record is from RNAcentral. Lineage: Bacteria; Bacillati; Bacillota; Bacilli; Caryophanales; Paenibacillaceae.